CAGGUUGUCCACCAUAUUGCACUGUUGAGUAUUGCUCAGCCAAGCCUACCAGAACAGCACUUUGUACCUUGCGAGAACCUGAGGGUGUCAGGUGUGAUGCAAAGUGCCGUGUAACCUACUGCCACACCUGUUACUAUGACGAUGAGUAUCGCCCUCUGCCAAGAAGCUGUAAAACAUGCUCUCGUGUUGAGAUUGAGCUUGAGGCCAGGUGUUUCAGAAAAUGGGCAGUGUGCACGAGACGAGCUGAUGGACAGGUCUAUCUCAAGGUGCGUGCUCGGGAGAGGACCAGUGAAACGUUUAAGUGUUACGAGCACCCCUGUGCCUAACUGAGCAAAGAAUUAAACUAAUUAUAAACAAAAAUGAACUGUCGCACAAACUAAUGUAUAGUACUGUAAAUCAUUUAUACUGCUAAAAACUCUAUUGAUUUAAUUCCCCCUGUGGCCUUUUCUAUGCCAUCAUUUCAAUUAUCAAAAGUUGUCUCAAUUA
Halichondria panicea is the source of this 486-nucleotide long non-coding RNA. RefSeq lists it as uncharacterized. NCBI's taxonomy places the organism in Eukaryota, Metazoa, Porifera, Demospongiae, Suberitida, Halichondriidae. The transcript is spliced from 3 exons. The record is from RefSeq and is a predicted model, not a curated record.